UUAGGAAUCUUGCGCAAUGGGGGAAACCCUGACGCAGCGACGUCGCGUGAAGGAUGAAGGCCCUCGGGUCGUAAACUUCUUUUGAGUGGGAAGAAAUUUGACGGUACCACUCGAAUAAGCCCCGGCUAACUACGUGCCAGCAGCCGCGGUAAUACGUAGGGGGCGAGCGUUGUCCGAAGUUACUGGGCGUAAAGCGCGCGUAGGCGGUUAUUCAAGUCUGGGGUGAAAGGUUCAGCGCUCAACGUGAACAGUGCCUUGGAUACUGGAUGACUUGAGUCUGGGAGGGGGAAGGGGAAUUCCUGGUGUAGCGGUGAAAUGCGUAGAUAUCAGGAGGAACACCGGUGGCGAAGGCGCCUUCCUGGCCUAAGACUGACGCUGAGGUGCGAAAGCGUGGGGAGCAAACGGG
This 406-nucleotide ribosomal RNA is filed under the name uncultured bacterium. RNAcentral describes it as "bacterial SSU rRNA". It matches the Rfam family "Bacterial small subunit ribosomal RNA", at positions 355 to 776 of the family's 1533-position model. The record is from RNAcentral. RNAcentral also lists the same sequence under 1 other name.